This 253-nucleotide ribosomal RNA is filed under the name uncultured bacterium. Its description in RNAcentral is "partial 16S ribosomal RNA". It matches the Rfam family "Bacterial small subunit ribosomal RNA", at positions 524 to 776 of the family's 1533-position model. The record is from RNAcentral.
UACAGAGGUCCCGAGCGUUGUUCGGAUUUAUUGGGCGUAAAGGGUGCGUAGGUGGCAAAGUAAGUUGGAUGUGAAAUCCUGGGGCUCAACCUCAGAAUUGCAUUCAAUACUGCUUAGCUAGAGAGCUGUAGAGGAGACUGGAAUUUACGGUGUAGCAGUGAAAUGCGUAGAUAUCGUAAGGAACGCCAGUGGCGAAGGCGAGUCUCUGGACAGUUACCGACGCUGAGGCACGAAGGUCAGGGGAGCAAACGGG